UUCCUUUCAAAAUGUAAUUUAGUUUAUUGCUUAGAAAUUGUUGUAGUUUUCUAUUGGUUUAUUUAUUACAGAAAAAAAGAGACUGAACUGAGAGUGGAAAAGUAAUGAUAAUAUUUCUUUCUUGCAUAAGAAAAAGGUUUUGCCCAUAAUUAAUUCACUGAGCAAGACAUACAGAAUUCUAUCCAAUGCUAUGAAAAUUAACCAAGGCACAUUAACUUCAGGAAAUUUUCAAAGGACAGAGAAAGAAGCUGUAACAAACAGUUCUGGAGACUUUGAAGCACAGCCACAGUACUGA
RNAcentral lists this long non-coding RNA (295 nucleotides) under Zosterops lateralis melanops. RNAcentral describes it as "lncRNA (ENSZLMG00000013632.1)". The record is from RNAcentral. Lineage: Eukaryota; Metazoa; Chordata; Aves; Passeriformes; Zosteropidae.